Molecule: long non-coding RNA, 470 nt
Organism: Zonotrichia leucophrys gambelii
Lineage: Eukaryota; Metazoa; Chordata; Aves; Passeriformes; Passerellidae
Exons: 3
Source: RefSeq, a predicted model, not a curated record
CUCUGAUGAAGAGGCAGGAGUAGCACUGUUGUGAAGAGCUGUGUGUGAGGAAACCACCCAGAAGGCCCAUGUUGGAGCACUAAACAGUCUCUUCUCUGACACAGGGGCCCAUAUGAAUAUUUGGUGUGAAGCUCCCUUGCAGCAGCAAGAGAUACUCAGGAGGAUGACACUGCUGUGCUGACAUUUGGAUCUUUGCUAAAAUUCGAUCAGACCAACAGUGACCCUUGAGGGAAAACUUGGGGAUGUCACUGAGACCCAGAAAGAAGUUAUACUAAAAACCAGAAAGAAAUUGGUUCUUCUAAUCCACUGCAUCUGAUCUCUACUGGUGUGUACUGAAGAAUGGAAAUGCUUUUCCACUCUGCAUGUGGUAUUGCAUCUGAGGGGAGCCCUGAAUGAGCCAUCUCUUCACCAGCUUGCCCAGAAAUGCAGCCAUGACAUGAUGGUGCCAUGCAAGUUCCAUGUGCCUCCUC